Molecule: transfer-messenger RNA, 410 nt
Filed under: Anaerolineae
Lineage: Bacteria; Bacillati; Chloroflexota
Also listed under: 1 other name
Description: JAACFF01 sp020432765 Standard tmRNA
Rfam family: transfer-messenger RNA
About the family: Bacterial tmRNA, also known as 10Sa RNA or SsrA, is named for its dual tRNA and mRNA-like properties. Its role is to liberate the mRNA from a stalled ribosome.
Source: RNAcentral
GGGGAUGACUGGCUUCGACGGGGAAGGCUGAUCCUGGACUGCAAGUCGAGCACGCUUUACACCUCGUAAAACUGGAAGCAAACAAUUAAGUGCCGAACGCACUCCUUCAUAUAACGCUCUGCCCAUGGCUGCCUAAAACAGUCUAGGAGCGUUGCUGGUUCCAAAGAUGGAACCCCGUCCGCCUUAAGUUUUUCAUUAGUUGGCUGAGGUUGGGCGACACGAAAAUUAAUGUGCUCCACGUUGACGUCGAUAAACGUGGCUAAGCUGUCCUUUCGGGGAUGAUCGGCUCGCUAGCGGCUGACCUUGUUGGCCAGGGCACCCGUUAGUAAAACUAAAUAGGCCGACUACGCUUGUAGACGUUCAGAGGUUGAAUUUUUCGGACGCGGGUUCGAUUCCCGCCAUCUCCAUUA